AAUUUUGUCUUAUGCUUUGUUUUAAGGUUUAACAACUAACAGAAAUUCUUGAUUUUAAUGUUUUUAAAAUAAUGAUGUGGAUAGAUCUGAAUCACAAUCGCAUUGAAGGAGCGGCAAUCUGUUUAUGGCUCUCCUGGCUCUACAACUUCGAUUUAACAGAUGACAUCUUUGAGGAUGUAGGACGGAGAUUAGAUACUACAAGUUCAGUACAGCUUGUGCUUGGAUUGCAGACCGAUGAAGAUUGGUUGAACCCAGGACCGGAUCAGUGCGACAUAUUUACACUACAGCGGAGGGAGGAGGCACAAUGUGGCAUCUCUCAUCCUAACAACACACAAUAUGGUGUACUAACAGAAGAUAGUCCGUGUGUUCCGUGUAUAUUGCGGCGAACUAUUUCGUGGCUCAUUGUUUAUUUGUCCUGCGGAGUGAUCCUUGCAACUGGAAUUAUCUUUGAUCACCACAUCCAACAGCGGAUAAACAAGAUCAGGUUGAGACUAACGGCCUGGGUCUACCCCGUUAAACAGCUAACAAGUCUGAAUCCGAUAGAAGAUAAAGUGAAGGAUCUACUAAUGGCUGAGAUAAUGUUGGGAAAGACAGCACCAUUCCUUGAAACAACCCGAUUUGUAGCGAGGAACACUAGUAACACUACACUACUUACAGCGGAUAUCAUCAGGAUUCCUGAUACUAAGACAAAAUUAGCUAAUAGUAAGACAAAGAAACGGGCAACAAAACACAUUUUAAAUGAUUUUUGAAGGAAAUAAACGAGGUGUCCAAUUUUACAUAUUAAAUCGUAGUUUGAUUUAUAGAUUACAUAAGCUUUUUUCAAUUUCUUAAACUUAAUCGAUUUGAUGUUUGGUAUUAAACUACAUAAUAUACAUAAUAUACCUUAUCAGUGAUAAUUAUCACAAACAUUACUUGCACGCUGAAGACCUUAGCGUGAAUAAUUAUGUCAUUAAUAUAUUAACAGAGAAAACAGAGGUGACAAUACACUAGUACUUAAAUUGCUUUCCGUGUUAUUUACAAAAAUAUUGAGUGAGACACCCUGGGGAUUUGAAAAUCAGCUCUCUAAAAAUAAUUUGUAUUAUUUUUAUAUAUAAUUAGCCUAUCAACUUGAAAAGGUUA
This is a long non-coding RNA of Bolinopsis microptera, 1119 nucleotides long. RefSeq lists it as uncharacterized. Lineage: Eukaryota; Metazoa; Ctenophora; Tentaculata; Lobata; Bolinopsidae. The record is from RefSeq and is a predicted model, not a curated record. The transcript has 4 exons.